UCAAUAGGCUUGAAUGGCACAGCUGUUAUAAACCUGCAUUUUUAGUUGCUCCAACAGUUAUCGCUUAUGGAUUGGUUCAUAGGUUGGAUUGGGUGAAACUGACAUGAUUCCCACUGAUGUUUUCCAGGAGAGAUGUCAGCGAUUCGGGCCAAUGACCAAGGGAAAGCUGGGACAAAAGAGAGAAAUGGAUGCUGCGGCCACUGAUUGCGCAUCAGAGAAUGACUCUGAGAAAGAGGAGUCAUCUGAAGAAUCCUAUGAAGAAAAUCUGACCGGUAUGCCUAUACCUUACAUACACAUGGACCUAUUCUUAAUUACAAUGUCCUUUUCAACAUGUUUUCCAGGAGAGAUGUCAGCGAUUCGGGCCAAACAACCAAUAACCAAGGGAAGACUGGGACAAAAGAGAGGCUCACACGGUGACAAAGGAACAAAAAGGUAUUGGUCGACAAUAGAGGUGGAUGCAGUUGAAGAUUCCUUGAUGAACUUUAUCCGAAUGGGGAAAAAUGCCUGGAAAACAAGACUGUGAGAAAUGCAUUGCUGCUUCUCCCCAAGCGCUUUUAAACAGGGACUGGAGAGCAGUACAGUUCUAUAGACACAACAGAAUAGUUGCAGAUCAGAGAAAAUAAGUGUAUGAGAUGCUUCUGGCUAUCUCAUAGGCAGAUGACAAAUGUCCUCUAUCUCACUGUUCAGGGGAAGUUUUUCCUGGUGGAUGGUUCACGAGGUGAGAUCUUGCAUGGAGCCCCAG
Molecule: non-coding RNA, 742 nt
Organism: Oncorhynchus mykiss (rainbow trout)
Lineage: Eukaryota; Metazoa; Chordata; Actinopteri; Salmoniformes; Salmonidae
Source: RefSeq, a predicted model, not a curated record